UGGAGAGAUGGCCGAGUGGCUGAAGGCGCACGCUUGGAAAGCGUGUAUACAUGAAAAUGUAUCAUGGGUUCGAAUCCCAUUUUCUCCGU
This 89-nucleotide transfer RNA is filed under the name Borrelia sp. HM. RNAcentral's name for it is "tRNA-Ser". It matches the Rfam family "tRNA". From Rfam's summary of the family: Transfer RNA (tRNA) molecules are approximately 80 nucleotides in length. Their secondary structure includes four short double-helical elements and three loops (D, anti-codon, and T loops). The record is from RNAcentral. Lineage: Bacteria; Pseudomonadati; Spirochaetota; Spirochaetia; Spirochaetales; Borreliaceae.